UAUAGUGAUAUUAACUGUAGCAAUGAGGAAGAUGAUGAAAGUCUGUGGACCACGGCUAUCACAUUUAUCUCUUUGUUUCUCCUUAGCAUCUUCUACAGUGCCACAAUCACACUAGUAAAGGUAAAAUGGUUCAUCUCGAGAAUUCUACAGUUUGAAAUGCAUGAUGAAAAGCACUUUAUAACAGUGCUGGACUCUACCACACAGUGAGGGGACUUUUUUUACAUUCUACAGUGUAUGUCUAUUCUAGUCAUACACAUCUUAUUUAUGAGUGUUUCAUAAGUAAAAAACAUUACAUCAUGUUAUGUCUGCCUUACCAAUAUUUAAUAAAGUCACUUUAACUGA
This is a long non-coding RNA of Xenopus tropicalis (tropical clawed frog), 342 nucleotides long. RefSeq lists it as uncharacterized. Lineage: Eukaryota; Metazoa; Chordata; Amphibia; Anura; Pipidae. The transcript is spliced from 2 exons. The record is from RefSeq and is a predicted model, not a curated record.